GUUCGAUCAUGGCUCAGAUUGAACGCUGGCGGGAUGCUUUACACAUGCAAGUCGAACGGCAGCACGGACUUCGGUCUGGUGGCGAGUGGCGAACGGGUGAGUAAUGUAUCGGAACGUGCCUAGUAGCGGGGAUAACUGUGAAAGCGUAGCUAAUACCACGCUACGCCCUUCGAGGAAAGCGGGGGACCUUCGGGCCUCGCAUAAUGAAGCAGCCGAUAUCGGAUUAGCUAGUUGGUGGGGUAACGGCUCACCAAGGCGACGAUCCGUAGCUGGUUUGAGAGGACGACCCAGCCGCACUGGGACUGAGACACGGCCCAGACUCCUACGGAGGCAGCAGUGGGGAAUUUGGACAAUGGGGGAAACCUGAUCCAGCCAUCCCGCGUGGGCAAGAGGCCUUCGGGUUGUAAAGCACUUUUGGCAGGAAAGAAACGGCACGGGAUAAUACCCCGUGCAACUGACUGACACCUGCAGAAUAAGCACCAGCUGACUACGUGCCAGCAGCCGCGGUAAUACGUAGGGUGCAAGCGUUAAUCGGAAUUACUGGGCGUAAAGCGUGCGCAGGCGGUUCCGGAAGAAAGAUGUGAAAUCCCAGAGCUUAACUUUGGAACUGCAUUUUAACUACCGAGCUAGAGUGUGUCAGGGAGGUGGAAUUCCGCGUGUAGCAGUGAAAUGCGUAGAUAUGCGGAGGAACACCGAUGGCGAAAACAGCCUCCUGGGAUAACACUGACGCUCAUGCACGAAAGCGUGGGGAGCAAACGGGAUUAGAUACCUGGUAGUCCACGCCCUAAACGAUGUCAACUAGCUGUUGAGGCCUUCCGGGCCUUGGUAACAGCUAACUUGUGAAGUUGACCGCCGCGGGGAGGUAAGGUCGCAAGAUUAAAACUCAAAGGAAUUGACGGGGACCCGCACAAGCGGUGGAUGAUGUGGAUUAAACAUUCGAUGCAACGCGAAAAGCACUUACCUACCCUUGACAUGUCUGGAAUCCCGAAGAGAUUUGGGAGUGCUCGCAAGAGAACCGGAACACAGGUGCUGCAUGGCUGUCGUCGGCUCGUGUCGUGAGAUGUUGGGUUAAGUCCCGCAACGAGCGCAACCCUUGUCAUUAGUUGCUACGAAAGGGCACUCCUGGCGAGAUUUGCCGGUGACAAACCGGAGGAAGGUGGGGAUGACGUCAAGUCCUCAUGGCCCUUAUGGUGGGGCUUCACACGUCAUACAAUGGUCGAGACCAGAGGUCGCCAACCCGCGAGGGGAACCAAUCCCGAGAAACCCGAUCGUAGUCCGGAUCACGAAUCUGGCCUCGACUGCGUGAAGUCAGGAAUCGCUAGUAAUCGCGGAUCAGCAUGUCAUGGUGAAUACGUUCCCGGGUCAUGUAUACACACCGCCCGUCACACACCAUGGGAGUGGGUUUUACCAGAAGUAGUUAGCCUAACCGUAAGGAGGGCGAUUACCACGGUAGGAUUCAUGACUGGGGUGAAGUCGUAACAAGGUAG
Molecule: ribosomal RNA, 1487 nt
Filed under: uncultured Bordetella sp.
Lineage: Bacteria; Pseudomonadati; Pseudomonadota; Betaproteobacteria; Burkholderiales; Alcaligenaceae
Description: partial 16S-23S ribosomal RNA intergenic spacer
Rfam family: Bacterial small subunit ribosomal RNA
Source: RNAcentral